Non-coding RNA from Branchiostoma floridae (Florida lancelet), 46 nucleotides. The record is from Rfam. Lineage: Eukaryota; Metazoa; Chordata; Leptocardii; Amphioxiformes; Branchiostomatidae.
CCACCGGCCCUUUUCAGGGCCACCCAAAUAUCCAGAAAGAGCUCAU